GUUCAAAUAAAAUACACUGCUUUCUUGCUCAAUUUUCUGAUUAGGACAACAGGAUCCAUCUCUAUAAGAAUAUAUUUACCUUCCUGUCUUGAAUGACAUCUCUAUUUCUUUCUAUUUGCCUAUUCUCCUCUUUUAAUUUUCUCUCUCCACCCCUUCUGUGUGUUACUUGUUUCCAGCACCCAUUUGCCACUUACCUUUGGCAGCAUGUUCUGUUAUCUGAUUUAUGUGUAGAGACUCUUUCCAGCUUCGAUUUCAGCCAAAAAUUAUGGAGGUUAGAGUUGGUGAUGAUGGUGUGUGUGUGUGUGUGUGUGUGAGCGUAUACACACUCACACCCACACAUACAUAUUUCAAAAUUGAGACAUUGUGUGUUUGAAUUUCUGGCUAGCAGAUCUUAUCCAUAGAUGUUCUUAACAAUAAAUGUUGAACACAUAUUUCCAGUGCUUGGUAGUGUAGUGUAAAAUCUGUCUUCAUUGUGGUAAAGCAUGUAUAAUUCACAGAAUUAUUUCUAGAGAGAAUCAACAAAAUUGCAAGAAUGACAAAAUAUUCAUUUGAAAUUUAUUGUUCUGAAAAUCAUUUUUGUUAUGUAUUUGUUUAAUUAUUUAACUUUGCAGGAUGUUCAACAUGGUCAAUGCCAAAAUAAACAUCAGAAUACUUGGAAAUAAGGUACUAAUAGUAGGAGUUCCUGAUUAUCAGGUGCCUAUGAUGUGACAGGCACAUUGUGGCCUUUGCUUGACCAGGAGAUGGGUAAGUCCUUGCGGAUUUCUUCCCUGCUUAAGUGCAUAAAGCAGGUAAUGAUGAGUAGUGCGGAGAUGUGACUACAAAGCCUCAAGAAGGACAGACCAGCAUUCGUGCAAGAGAUCCAGCUGUCUUCUUUUCCCCAGGAGCCCAUAAUUUACAUGAACCUGAGAAAGAAUAUUGUAACUGGCAGAAAUUAUCUUCAGUUUAAAUCCUUUAUUUUAGGGGUUAAAUAACUUGGCAAAAUAAUGAGAUUAAUAUUAUUUUAAAGAUUGCUAGAAAAAAUUGUAACAUUUCAUGUAGAUGCGUAAAUAACAAACUUAAAGCUUGUUUCAGGAUGAGGUGCAAAAUGAAUAGCAGGAGAAGGACUUUAGUCGCAGUACAUAGAACUUGAGAAUGGAAUAGGUAAAUAAAUACUCUAUAGAAUAUUACAAUAAAUAGAAUAAAUUUUAAGUUCAUAGAGCAAUAUUUGAAAAUCCCACUUUCAAAGCCAUCAAUUUCUACACAGCGUUUCAUUUUGAUUUUGGAACUGAAGCCAAAGAUGUCCAGGGAGCUGAAAUGCUAGCUGGUCUUGCUGUGGCCGUGGAGGUUGGAAUUCUGCCAAGAAGAGCAUCUGUGAGAGAGCAAAAUGGCUGUUUACAUUCCUCCUGUGAAGGGAGUUGGGAAAUAAUCUAAGAAGCCUAAUCCAAAAGCAAAGAUGUUCCAUCCAGUCUUCUCUGUGAGAGUCAAAGGACAAACCAUCUGAAUGUUCCAAAAGUGUUUAUAUUAAUGUAUUUUAAAUUAUUCUGAUAAUGUUCUUGGCAGAGGCUUAAAGGUGUAAUUACUGAGACGAUGUAGAAAUACCAAGUAUUUAUUCAAACAAUAUGGAAUAAUACAAAUGGUAUGGUUGUCACAAUACAAAAAUAUCUAUAAACUAAAGAGUUCUUUAAUGGUGGAACUUUUUUUUACUUUUUGAAGUUGAAAUAUAAAUUUUUGUAAAAAAUACAAAUGAUUACUAUCUAUAACAUUUA
Sapajus apella (tufted capuchin) is the source of this 1745-nucleotide long non-coding RNA. RefSeq lists it as uncharacterized. NCBI's taxonomy places the organism in Eukaryota, Metazoa, Chordata, Mammalia, Primates, Cebidae. The transcript has 3 exons. The record is from RefSeq and is a predicted model, not a curated record.